RNAcentral lists this ribosomal RNA (446 nucleotides) under uncultured bacterium. Its description in RNAcentral is "SSU rRNA". It matches the Rfam family "Bacterial small subunit ribosomal RNA", at positions 26 to 518 of the family's 1533-position model. The record is from RNAcentral.
AGGAUGAACGCUGGCGGUCUGCUUAACACAUGCAAGUCGAACGGGCGUAGCAAUACGUUAGUGGCGGACGGGUGAGUAACGCGUGAGAAUCUACCUUCAGGACGGAGACAACAGUUGGAAACGACUGCUAACCCCCGAUGUACCGAAAGGGCAAAUAUUUAUAGCCUGAAGAAGAGCUCGCGUCCGAUUAGCUAGUUGGAGAGGUAAAAGACUCACCAAGGCGACGAUCGGUAGCUGGUCUGAGAGGACGAUCAGCCACACUGGGACUGAGACACGGCCCAGACUCCUACGGGAGGCAGCAGUGAGGAAUUUUCCGCAAUGGGCGAAAGCCUGACGGAGCAAAUGUCGCGUGGAGGAGAAGGCCCGUGGUCGUAAACUCCUUUGUCAAAGAGAAAAUAUGACGGUAUUGACGAAUAAGCAUCGGCUAACUCCGUGCCAGCAGCCGC